UGCACCACACUGGCAGCAUCUGGAGCUGCCAUCGCUCUGCUUUCCUGGUCCCCUGUGCUUUCCUUCCCAGUGUGAACAGGGCGUUGCUCCAGCUCUGAGGAAUUCCAUGAUGGACAGCGUGAGUCCAGGCAGUUCUGCUGGAGCAGUUGUCAGCUCCCAGAGCAGACCAGAAGCUUUUCUUCCCACAGCUGCUACUGGAAUUUACCACUUCUUCAAGCAGAGCUGUGCAGGUAAACGCCGCGGAGAGGAUCUGGAAUCUGUUUGCUUUCCUGUACAACUGUUGCAGUAAAGAGGUAAGGAGCCAGGCACCCACCAGCCAGUCCAUCUCCCUUUCCCUUCUCAUGGAUUCUCAUGGGGACCAUGAGCACGGCUCUGCCCUGAAGGGUCUUUGUUCCUCCUUUCCCCUGACUGAAUGUGUCAUAUCUUCCUUCCUUCUUUCCAUAGCCAUUUGGAAAAUACCUCCAGCCUUCUCAGAGGACAGCCAUCAUCCUCAAGACUCUUGACAUAAUGAGUAGCUACAGCACCGAAGAUGAUGAGCAUUUUGGGGCCGAAUUCAUGGUGGACAUAGCAGUUGAAGACCCUGCCACCUGGCUGAUGGAUGUGCCAAAGAUUCUGAGGUUCAUCCAUGAAAGCCUGAGUAACUGCAGAGAUUCAGACCACCAGAAACUCUUCUCAGUACUUUCCACAAUGGCCAACCAGUUUCCUAGGGAAGUGCUCCUAAGCAUCUUGACAGACCUCCCGACACUUGACAGCACUACGCUGGACAUCUGGAAGGCGAUGGUUUCCCUUCCAGUGACUUCAGAGAAGAUCUUGCAGGAGCUAUGGAAUGUUCUCCAGGACAACGAAGUGUGCAGCUUCUUUGCAGUCAGCGCCGCGGACUUAAGCAUCUUUCACUUUGCUGUGAGUAACCAGACAACACACCUUGUUCCCCUUUGGGGCUAUGUGUGCUCCUCCAGGAAAACAGGCACAGUCCUCUCCCCAUCCCAUCUUCUCCAACCUGUCACCUCUUCCAGGACACAAGGACACAGCCCCUUAGGGCCAGCACCAGCCCCCCCUCCACCAGCCAUGCGGGGUCCGUGUGCUCAGACAUGAAGCCUGCCCCUUUCCUGGCAGUGCUGUCUUUCCCCCGGCUCCUGGCAAUGACUGGGGCAGAGUCAGGACAAUGUCUGGGGCUGGGGCAGAGCCAUGGCCUCUGCACGGGCUGAGCAAGCUGUGAGGCCAGGGACUAGUAGCACCUGUAGCCACCUGCUUCCAGUGCCUGCUUUGUGCCAGAUGGUGCUGGUCAGUCGCUCCUCAGAGGUGUGAGACCAAGAGGCUGCGGAUGGCCAGAGGGAAGGAGGAGCAGGCAAAGAAAGGAUGCUCUGUGUUGCCAGGCGCAGGGCACACAGGAGCCACACACUCCUCCG
RNAcentral lists this long non-coding RNA (1406 nucleotides) under Anas platyrhynchos platyrhynchos (common mallard). RNAcentral's name for it is "lncRNA (ENSAPLG00000027599.1)". Lineage: Eukaryota; Metazoa; Chordata; Aves; Anseriformes; Anatidae. The record is from RNAcentral.